This 1081-nucleotide ribosomal RNA is filed under the name Microbacterium oxydans. Its description in RNAcentral is "bacterial SSU rRNA". It matches the Rfam family "Bacterial small subunit ribosomal RNA", at positions 55 to 1146 of the family's 1533-position model. The record is from RNAcentral. Lineage: Bacteria; Bacillati; Actinomycetota; Actinomycetes; Micrococcales; Microbacteriaceae.
AUGCAAGUCGAACGGUGAACACGGAGCUUGCUCUGUGGGAUCAGUGGCGAACGGGUGAGUAACACGUGAGCAACCUGCCCCUGACUCUGGGAUAAGCGCUGGAAACGGCGUCUAAUACUGGAUAUGUGACGUGAUCGCAUGGUCUGCGUCUGGAAAGAAUUUCGGUUGGGGAUGGGCUCGCGGCCUAUCAGCUUGUUGGUGAGGUAAUGGCUCACCAAGGCGUCGACGGGUAGCCGGCCUGAGAGGGUGACCGGCCACACUGGGACUGAGACACGGCCCAGACUCCUACGGGAGGCAGCAGUGGGGAAUAUUGCACAAUGGGCGCAAGCCUGAUGCAGCAACGCCGCGUGAGGGAUGACGGCCUUCGGGUUGUAAACCUCUUUUAGCAGGGAAGAAGCGAAAGUGACGGUACCUGCAGAAAAAGCGCCGGCUAACUACGUGCCAGCAGCCGCGGUAAUACGUAGGGCGCAAGCGUUAUCCGGAAUUAUUGGGCGUAAAGAGCUCGUAGGCGGUUUGUCGCGUCUGCUGUGAAAUCCGGAGGCUCAACCUCCGGCCUGCAGUGGGUACGGGCAGACUAGAGUGCGGUAGGGGAGAUUGGAAUUCCUGGUGUAGCGGUGGAAUGCGCAGAUAUCAGGAGGAACACCGAUGGCGAAGGCAGAUCUCUGGGCCGUAACUGACGCUGAGGAGCGAAAGGGUGGGGAGCAAACAGGCUUAGAUACCCUGGUAGUCCACCCCGUAAACGUUGGGAACUAGUUGUGGGGUCCAUUCCACGGAUUCCGUGACGCAGCUAACGCAUUAAGUUCCCCGCCUGGGGAGUACGGCCGCAAGGCUAAAACUCAAAGGAAUUGACGGGGACCCGCACAAGCGGCGGAGCAUGCGGAUUAAUUCGAUGCAACGCGAAGAACCUUACCAAGGCUUGACAUAUACGAGAACGGGCCAGAAAUGGUCAACUCUUUGGACACUCGUAAACAGGUGGUGCAUGGUUGUCGUCAGCUCGUGUCGUGAGAUGUUGGGUUAAGUCCCGCAACGAGCGCAACCCUCGUUCUAUGUUGCCAGCACGUAAUGGUGGGAACUCAUGGGA